UCCCUAGUGGCUCAGCGGUAAAGAAUCUGCCUGCCAGUGCAGGAGACCUGGGUUUGAUCCCUGGCUUGGGAA
Molecule: transfer RNA, 72 nt
Filed under: Ovis aries (sheep)
Lineage: Eukaryota; Metazoa; Chordata; Mammalia; Artiodactyla; Bovidae
Rfam family: tRNA
About the family: Transfer RNA (tRNA) molecules are approximately 80 nucleotides in length. Their secondary structure includes four short double-helical elements and three loops (D, anti-codon, and T loops). Further hydrogen bonds mediate the characteristic L-shaped molecular structure. tRNAs have two regions of fundamental functional importance: the anti-codon, which is responsible for specific mRNA codon recognition, and the 3' end, to which the tRNAs corresponding amino acid is attached (by aminoacyl-tRNA synthetases). tRNAs cope with the degeneracy of the genetic code in two manners: having more than one tRNA (with a specific anti-codon) for a particular amino acid; and 'wobble' base-pairing, i.e. permitting non-standard base-pairing at the 3rd anti-codon position.
Source: Rfam by way of RNAcentral